AUUGCAUUUGGUUUGUGGCCACAUUUUCCCACUCCUUCUUCCCCUCUUUCUCUGUUUCUCCCUUCUCCCUCCCCUUCCUAACAGUUCUCUUCUCUUCUUGUUCUUCUUGUAGUGGGUAAUACCUGUUCUAACUUAUCAAAGUGGUAUCAAAGCUAAAACCUAGAUUCCGUCAUUAAAAUGGUUGAUUAAUCUGCACCCCAGACACCUGCAAUUCCCAGCAUCAUCCUCUUCAGUCUCCAAACCCGCUGCUACAAAAACGCAGACAAACCGAACCCAAUUUCAUCCACAAAUUGCUGUUGACAAUUUGUUCUCUGUUGACGCCUACUAAUCCACAUAAAUAAAGACCCAUCUGCUGCAACUUCCACCAAGAUUUUGUGAAGAGAAUAAACUAAACCGCCCACUACUACAACACAAUUGGCCCUACCACCACCUGACCAUUGAUUUCAAUCCAAACACCAUCAGUCACGCCAAUAAACAAUAAUCGCACCAAUCUCCGCCACAUAUACAUGUAAAACCCAAAUUAUAUUCAACCAAUUAACCCAUAAACCCACCAUCUUAAACUGACCCAGUUAAUCCCUCCCCAUUGCCGGAAGCAUCUUCUAACGCCUGCACGUUCCACCGUCACACCAAAGCCUCCAUACGUGAUAUUCAACAGCACCGAUCGCUGGCCACUCCUAAAACAUUGAUCCAAGCGGUCAACCCUCUCCCUCGCCAACCUCCUCCACUAUCACAAGUCCCGACUCCAAUCUUCGCAUCCCACGUCGCCAUCUUCAUACAACAACCGAUCCCAAAGUUGGAGUGAAACUGGGUACUUAUUUUCAAUUGGGCUAUGUUUACAAUUGAUGUCUUGGGCCUGGGUUAUGCCUUUUAUUUUUGCAAAGAGUUUAAUUGGAAGAAAAUAUGUAUGGUUAUUUUAUAUUUUGGGCCUUAAUUUUCCCUUGUUGGUUUACUUAAAAGUGUAAUUUGAUUUUACUUAAAAAAAAAAAUGCAGAAGGGUAAAAAAAAAAAAAAACAAAAAUUGAAAGUGAAAAAAAAGGAGAAAAGAAGUGAAAAAAAAAUAUUUCUG
This 1066-nucleotide long non-coding RNA is filed under the name Olea europaea subsp. europaea. Lineage: Eukaryota; Viridiplantae; Streptophyta; Magnoliopsida; Lamiales; Oleaceae. The record is from RNAcentral.